Lathyrus oleraceus (garden pea) is the source of this 194-nucleotide long non-coding RNA. RefSeq lists it as uncharacterized. The transcript is spliced from 3 exons. NCBI's taxonomy places the organism in Eukaryota, Viridiplantae, Streptophyta, Magnoliopsida, Fabales, Fabaceae. The record is from RefSeq and is a predicted model, not a curated record.
GUUAUUUUGGGGUCAAAGUUCUUCUAAAGUUUUAAAGGAGUUUGAUACGUCAAAGUUCUGCUCAAAUCAUUUUCAUAAGUAACCGGUUCUGGGCAAACAUCAGAGAAAACGCUCGUGGACUUUCAACAACGAUCAACAACAAAAGGCGACGAGCUAGACCAUUUAGGAGGGAAGGCUAUGGAGUGACAGAUUAC